RNAcentral lists this ribosomal RNA (482 nucleotides) under uncultured bacterium. Its description in RNAcentral is "partial 16S ribosomal RNA". It matches the Rfam family "Bacterial small subunit ribosomal RNA", at positions 30 to 507 of the family's 1533-position model. The record is from RNAcentral.
AUUGAACGCUGGCGGCAUGCUUUACACAUGCAAGUCGAACGGUAACAGGCCGCAAGGUUCUGACGAGUGGCGAACGGGUGAGUAAUGCAUCGGAACGUGCCCAGUCGUGGGGGUUAACUACUCGAAAGAGUAGCUAAUACCGCAUACGAUCUAUGGAUGAAAGCGGGGGACCGGAAGGCCUCGUGCGAUUGGAGCGGCCGAUGUCAGAUUAUGUAGUUGGUGGGGUAAAGGCUCACCAAGCCAACGAUCUGUAGCUGGUCUGAGAGGACGACCAGCCACACUGGAACUGAGACACGGCCCAGACUCCUACGGGAGGCAGCAGUGGGGAAUUUUGGACAAUGGGCGCAAGCCUGAUCCAGCAAUGCCGCGUGCAGGAAGAAGGCCUUCGGGUUGUAAAGUGCUUUUGUACGGAACGAAACGGCUCUGGUUAAUACCCGGGGCUAAUGACGGUACCGUAAGAAUAAGCACCGGCUAACUACGUG